UAUUUAAAAUAAAUACCCACAUUAAAAAUUACUAAAUAUUAAAUAAUUAUUUCAAAGUGUAUUUAUUUUUUAUUGUUCUGUUAGUUUCUGAUAAUGAUCUUCUAUCGUCGUCGAUGAUUACAGGCGUGUAGUACGUUCAUUGAUAUUAAACUAUAUAUAUCUAUGAGUACAUUGCUCUUAUAAUAUUAAUUAUUAACAUACGCCGACGCGGAAGGCACCAAGUCUUAUCUCAAUUAACUAUGUUUAAUUCUUUCUUAUUAUUAUUCUGUAGUUUUAGGCGUAAAAUUUUUAAAACAUGAAUGUAUUGUAUUAAUUAUAAGAUUUCAAAGCACGUAGCAAUAUCGUCAUGGUGUACUUGGAGUGUCCUGAUAAAUUCCAACGCCACUACUUACAUAGAGUCCCAGCAACUACAGCCGUUUCUGCACAUAUAGCCUGUUGUCAGUUGGACAAUUCAGAAAACAGUUUUGUACAAGUCAUGGUUCACAGGAUUAAAAAACUUACAAUUUGUUAGUUCAUAGAGCUUAAGUUAAAUGAAGUCUUUUUGUUUGUAUUUAUUUUUUUGUACAUUUAUACUAAAUAAAAUUAUAUUAACAACACA
Aphis gossypii (cotton aphid) is the source of this 598-nucleotide long non-coding RNA. RefSeq lists it as uncharacterized. The record is from RefSeq and is a predicted model, not a curated record. The transcript is spliced from 2 exons. Lineage: Eukaryota; Metazoa; Arthropoda; Insecta; Hemiptera; Aphididae.